UACGUAGGGUGCAAGCGUUAAUCGGAAUUACUGGGCGUAAAGCGUGCGCAGGCGGUUAUGUAAGACAGAUGUGAAAUGCCCGGGCUUAACCUGGGAACUGCAUUUGUGACUGUACGGCUAGAGUGUGUCAGAGGGGGGUAGAAUUCCACGUGUAGCAGUGAAAUGCGUAGAGAUGUGGAGGAAUACCGAUGGCGAAGGCAGCCCCCUGGGAUAACACUGACGCUCAUGCACGAAAGCGUGGGGAGCAAACAGG
This 253-nucleotide ribosomal RNA is filed under the name uncultured bacterium. Its description in RNAcentral is "partial 16S ribosomal RNA". It matches the Rfam family "Bacterial small subunit ribosomal RNA", at positions 524 to 776 of the family's 1533-position model. The record is from RNAcentral.